GACGAACGCUGGCGGCGUGCUUAACACAUGCAAGUCGAACGGAAAGGCCCUUCGGGGUACUCGAGUGGCGAACGGGUGAGUAACACGUUGGUGAUCUGCCCUGCACUUUGGGAUAAGCCUGGGAAACUGGGUCUACUACCGAAUAGGACCGCGCGCUUCAUGGUGUGUGGUGGAAAGCUUUUGCGGUGUGGGCUGGGCCCGCGGCCUAUCAGCUUGUUGGUGGGGUAAUGGCCUACCAAGGCGACGACUGGUAGCCGGCCUGAGAGGGUGACCGGCCACACUGGGACUGAGAGACGGCCCAGACUCCUACGGGAGGCAGCAGUGGGAAACAUUACAGAACAGGCGCAAGCCUGAUGCAGCGACCCCGCGUGCGGGAUGACGUCCUACGGGUUGUAAACCUCUUUCACCAUGGACGAAGCGGAAGUGACGGUACCUGGAGAAGAAGCCCCGGCCAACUACGUG
Molecule: ribosomal RNA, 462 nt
Filed under: uncultured bacterium
Lineage: Bacteria
Description: partial 16S ribosomal RNA
Rfam family: Bacterial small subunit ribosomal RNA
Source: RNAcentral